This is a long non-coding RNA of Papaver somniferum (opium poppy), 3772 nucleotides long. RefSeq lists it as uncharacterized. NCBI's taxonomy places the organism in Eukaryota, Viridiplantae, Streptophyta, Magnoliopsida, Ranunculales, Papaveraceae. The transcript is spliced from 13 exons. The record is from RefSeq and is a predicted model, not a curated record.
UUUGCAAACAGAGCCAAGAGAGAGAAACUACUUUCUUCCUUUUUUUUCUCUUUCUUCAACCUUCUGGAGGAAGGGAAGAGAGAUAUGCCGGAAUAACUUUGAAACCCAGAAAAUCUUUUCUGUGAACCAUCUAUCAAUCCAGAUUCAUAGAAAAGGUUUUCUGGGUCAUUAUCAAAUCGAAGCAGUUAAGGUUUUUAGCCUGAAUCCUAAGAGGUCCAGCACAACUUUAAUGACUUCAACGAGGAUGAUAAAGUAGGGGUUGAGAGAAUUAUGCGAAUUGUUCCAAAGGAACAAACUUUUGGAAAUGAAUGAUUGUUCACAAGUCAGCUGAGAUUAUUCUUCAAAUGUUGAUGAAUGUAAGGGAAAAGUUAUGCAGGUUUCUCACGAAUGUAUCGGAUUGCAAAUAUGCUGGAAAAUGGUCAAUGGAAAAUGAAUUGAUGAAACCAGAGACAACUUCUUAUCCUCACAUCCCUCUGAAGACAGAUUCUGAAAUAACUUGAAACCCAAAUAACCUUGUUUGUGAAUUUGUGAAUCGUAGAUCAUCAAUGAAUCCAGAUUCACAGAGAAGGUUUUUGGGUGAUCAUUAGAUCAAGCUUGUGCACAGGAUACCCCAAUGUUUGAUUUGUUAUUCUCAUUGAUGAGUCCAGAUUCUAGACUCAAGUUUUGUUAUUCUUGAGUACUUGGUGUAUUUUUUCGUUAUCAACUUAUUAUUUCUUAUGAUAUGCUUAUUCUUGCAUUAAUAGAGAGCUCAUCUUUCUUAUUUUAAGGGGUCAGUCUCGCCUUUGGGGAUGAUGGCUUCCUCUGGCAAGCCAUGAAGAAAGAGUAAAAGAGAUUGAAAGCAAUUGUUUGUUGGAUAAAUAACUGUUCGAUAAAGUGUGAUAGACUGAUAGUAUAUCUCACAGCCAAAUAGAGAGAGGUUGAACAACUUUCGUUUUAAAUGUCCCGAAGACACAAACAGUUCUUAGCAUAUCAAGAUUGAAUAGAUCAUAUCAACGUCGAUGAAAGUAAUCAAGGAAGUUGGGGAGGAAGUUCUUAUGCAAGCUUAUUUUUCCUUGGUUUAGAUGAAGUUUGUUCCAUCUUUCUUGGAGGGUCCCACAAGGAGAACCGCUCAUCAUAUGCUCCAGAAAAUGGCGUUCAAUGUGAUGGAGCUUAUAGAAUAAAGAAAUGUUGGCGAAAAUAGGGAUUCAGCUGUGGUGGUUUCUUGUCUUCUAACUUUACACUCCAGGCACAUGUCUUUACUUCCCUGCCAGUCUGGAAUGAUCUAAUGAGAAAGUGUCAUUUACAGGGCCAUAAAGUCUGCAGUAAUAACUUAAUGCUCUGCAUCGUCCACUGUAGUGAUGAGCAUGGGGACAGCCCGAGACCUCUGCCAGCUGGAGUUUAGCGUGCCAACUGAUGGUACAGAUAGAAAGGACAGUUCAUCUUGGGAUUAUGACGUGAGUUUCAGAGUUGUUUUCCAGUUAUUCUUUACCGAGUUUUUUUUGUCGUUUUUAGUCUUGGUAUCCCUUCGGAUAUUGCUAUUUUCCUUUCAGCUUUAUUAUCUAAGAGCAAGACUAAUCAAAAGUCAACAACUUAACUAAGAUCAGCAGUUGGAUCUCCCCUCUCCUCAAAGUUAGACCCUUGGAUGACAGGAAUUUUCCACAAAAGAUUCCUGUCAUAGACAAAAUUUCCAUGUGGCUUUUCUUGGUUACUUGAUGAAAAUGCCCCCCGAUCUUCUUUCCCAAAACACAGCUUUUUCUUUUUCUCUUCAGUUCCAUCACCACCCAUGGUUACCAUCACCACCAGCAAUACCAUCAGCCUCACCACUAUCAUCAUCUCCAGCAACACCGCCAUUAUCAUCUAAACCAGCAACAACGCUAAAUUAUGCAGACAUGGUUACUUCAUCUUGCUCUCAGGAAAUCCUUUCAUCGCAAUUUCUCAAGCUGUGCAUGAAAGGAAUCGCCUCAAUUUCAUGUUUGCUAAAUCUAUGCAGACAUGGUUACUUCCCCUUGAUCUUUCUAUUAUCAUAAGAAAUUUACUUCAGAGAAUUGAAUCGAGACCAAACUCAAAUCGGUUCUCCAAAGUUACUCAAAAUCAAAUCAGGGUCCAAUUACUCAAUUCAACCUAUGUUCAACAAAGUUUACUACCUUGAUUCAUUUUGGCUGAUGAAGGUAUCCAAAUGAAGAAGCUGAUGAAGUACCCAUAAUAUUUGUUGCGAGUAAACCUCACAUUUCAAAGGGAUAAAUCAACCUCGGAAAAGCUAUGGGUAGAGGUGGUUGAACUAUCGACAACCAAAUAUUAAAACAUGGGAGUAUUAGAACCUGAAGAAGUGGGUAGUAACAAGUGAUUUUAGUAACAGCCCAUCAAUAUUGAGUUGGAGCUGGUUGCAAUGACUCAAGAAUUGAAUUGCUCCUUACUCAGAUAAGGACGUAACUGAACUUCUUGCGUCUGGAAGGAAAAUGUUUACCUCAGUGCCCUUGGGAAGUAGUGCUCCAAUGGCUGUUUCUGCAUCUGGUGGUGGUGGCAGAGCAGAAGAAGGAAGAGAAGGUCGAUAAGAAACAAGAAUCUGAUGACGCAACGAAGAAGAAAGUUGCUUGAAAAAACCUUCACCUCUUAGGGAAAAACCCAUGCGGACACAAAAUCCCUUGGAUGCCGAAGAUAUCUCUAAGAUGCUGAAGAUUUUAAGAGAGAAAGGAAACCAUGGAAAAAGGCAUAGAAUAAGUCCCUUACAGACCAGUAUUGAAAGGUUGAUCUCUCUCUCUCUCUCUCUCUCUCUCUCUCUCUCUCUCUCUUAUUUUAGGGGUCAAUCUCGACUUCGGGGAUGAAUAAAUAGGGCACAAAUGGCAUCUCUUGUCAAAUAAAGAGGAUGAAGAGGUUGAUCAACAACUCCCAUUUAAAUUGUCUCUUUGGAAAUUAUUUCACAGUUCUCUCAGCAAAUCAAGAUUGUUCAAAUUGUUUUCUCGAUGUGGAUGAAGGUAUAUCAGUAAAUUCACACAUGAUAGAAUUCAUCCAGAUCAACAGAGGCUAAUAAAGAGCUUGAAGCUCAUGCCGAUGACGACAUUCAGAAAAUCUACUCCUAUGGCCUCAUGGUGGUAUACAGAUCUUUGUUAAUAACCUGCCUGGACAAGGAAUUCCCUCCUCAGAGGGUUUAUUUUUGCUGGAAAACAACUCGAAGAUGGUUGUAAUCCUGCAGACCACAACAUCUAGAAGGAAACAACCCUUCCUUCACCUUGUUCUUCUUCUGUGGCUGUAUGCUGAUUUUUGACAAGGCCCGUACUGGGAAAACAAUUAUCGUUGAAACCGAGAAUUCAGACACUAUUGAUCCUGUGAAGACAAUGAAGGAAUUCCCCCUGGCCAGAAGGAAUGAUUUUUCAGUUUAUGUUGCGUCUCAGGGAACUUGGCUAAGACUAAUAAGAGAGACAGACUAUUGCACUCGAUGUGGAAAGUUUUGACAAAUUGUUAAGCUGAGAUUUCAGGACACAAUGGAGGUAUUUCUCCAGACCAGCAGGGAAAGCAAUUGGAAGAUGGAAGAACCUUAGCUGAUAUCAUUUUUCGGAAAUAGUUCAUGGUUUAUUUUCAUAUGGCAGAUGGGCAAAAAAUGGAGAAGUAAUAAUAUUGGGUUUCUUACCAUUUACGCCAUGCCUAAUUGCCCAUCAUUUCCUGAAUUCUUGCCCUAACAUUUGUCAAUUUGUCAAUUAGGGUUAUGUGAUAGAAUACAAAUUAGUACUCCCUCUGUUUCACAAAGACAGUCCGCUUUGACUUUCUCAAAAUAUUAAGAAGACCAUACUAUUUUACU